Molecule: ribosomal RNA, 440 nt
Filed under: Rhodostrophia vibicaria
Lineage: Eukaryota; Metazoa; Arthropoda; Insecta; Lepidoptera; Geometridae
Description: partial 28S ribosomal RNA
Source: RNAcentral
UGCGAAACUCGAAUGAACGAACGGAGAGAUUCAUCGUCUAUUCCGGGCGUGCGGGCGUGUCGUACGAUGUCGUGCACUUCCUCGUGGAGUUGUCGCGGCACGUCGCGCGUCCGUCUCGCGUCCCGGGACGGCGUGCACUUCUCUCUCAGUAAUACAUCGCGACCCGUUCGAUGUCGGUCUAAGCGCCGCCCGGGAGUCUCUCGGUCCGCCCGCAAGGGUGCGAUCGGUGUGACCGGUGCGGUACGUUGCCGACCGGCCGUCGGACGGUAGUUUGAACGAAACGCGCACGCGUACAAUAUACGCGUCCGGCCCGACGCAAGGCAUCAAGCGUCGUCAUCCUCGUAUCUGCCCGAGUGCGAACGAGGGGGCGGCGCGCCUGUCGUCGCAGCCGUGCAUGUCUCGGACAGUGCGCGUGUCAGUCUGCGAUGAUUCAGUUUCGG